UCUCCUUUCUCUCUCUAAAACUCAUUUUCCCAAAUUCUUUUAUGCCUUCUCUCUAGCCUCCACACUGAUUUAGUCAUUGCAUGUUCUGUUAGGUGGUACCCUAGCGACCGUCUCGUAGAGAGCUUCAAAACCAUCCGAUUGGUUUUACGUUCUUCAGCCGGGCACUGCUUAAGUUCUUCCUAGGGUAGGAUACUGUUGAAAGUUGUGUUGUGUGCUAGACUGCUCAACUUCAAGAGGGAGAUAAGACAUCUGUGGAGUAGGAGCUAGAGGGUGCCAAUGGUGUUGAGUAGCCUAGGAACUUAUAGAUUUAC
Molecule: long non-coding RNA, 311 nt
Organism: Vigna angularis (adzuki bean)
Lineage: Eukaryota; Viridiplantae; Streptophyta; Magnoliopsida; Fabales; Fabaceae
Exons: 3
Source: RefSeq, a predicted model, not a curated record